CUACUUUAUGAACAUGGCAUUGCCAUCCACACAUGUUUUCCUCAUGCGAAACAUCAUCCACCAUUACAAUGUCAGAAAAAACGAGAAACGUCUUCAUGACAUAAAAAAGGAAUUCAACACAAACAUUCACAUGAAUGACCACAGCCAGGUUGUGUUAGAAAAUCCAUCCUCCACAGAGAAAUGAAUGGACAUGUCACUUGGUCCACUGACAGCACUGCCAGAAAAUAUUGUGACUUUACAAACGACCGCUGCAUCACCAGGCAUAACAUCAGUCACAUCUCCUCUGUCAUCAGUACCAAUUACAGAAAAAACAGCUUGUGAACCUACCACUCUUCUGAAUUUUUUGGAACCUACUAAGCCUUGGGAGAGGGACUGGCAUCCAUUACAAGAGAAACUGCUUGAUUAUGUGCUGGACCGAAAUCGCCCUGGCAGUGAAAUAAUUGUGAAGGAGGGGCAAGUGUGCCUUAUUCGAGAAGAAUUUUGGAGCCUUGGAUUGUUGAGGGACAUGGACUUCCAUAUUGGAAACGCCUGCAUGAAGCUUAUUUGUAAAAUGGCUCGACAAAUUGGCAAGGACAUAUACAUUGAGGACUUUUAUGUUUUCCCUGUGUGGAAAGAAACUCCUAACAACAUUGUUACUGGAUUACCGGAAGAUGCAGACUUGAAAAACCUGUUAGCCUUUCCAGCAUGGACAAAUGCCAAUGGACCAGACCACUUUGUUGUCUGUGAAAAUUGCUUACCAAGUGGAUCAUGGGACAUGGUCUGAAAAGACUGGAUAUGAUUUUCCAGCUUUGCCACGUCAGACAAGAGGGAAUGAUUGUGGUGUUUUUGUACUCAUGUACACCCUCUCAAUGGUGUGUGGCAUUGGGUUUCAAUUCCAGGAGAUGGAUAUACCUAUCAUCCGUCAGUGGUGGUGCCUUCUACUCAUGGAACAAUUUCAAACUGAUGGGUAUGUCAGUAUUUAUUUAUUUUUCUUGUAAAUCUGUAAAAUUAAAAAUUUAUAUUGUGUCAAUACAACAACUUGUAACAUGAAUAACAAAACAUACUUAAAAUCUCUCUUACCAGUGACCAGUAU
Molecule: non-coding RNA, 1072 nt
Organism: Danio rerio (zebrafish)
Lineage: Eukaryota; Metazoa; Chordata; Actinopteri; Cypriniformes; Danionidae
Source: RefSeq, a predicted model, not a curated record